This 253-nucleotide ribosomal RNA is filed under the name uncultured bacterium. RNAcentral's name for it is "partial 16S ribosomal RNA". It matches the Rfam family "Bacterial small subunit ribosomal RNA", at positions 524 to 776 of the family's 1533-position model. The record is from RNAcentral.
UACAGGGGGUGCAAACGUUGCUCGGAAUCAUUGGGCGUAAAGCGCACGUAGGCGGUUCGUUAUGUCGGAUGUGAAAGCCCUUGGCUUAACCGAGGAAGUGCAUCCGAAACUGGCGAGCUAGAGUACUAAAAAGGAUCGCGGAAUUCCCGGUGUAGAGGUGAAAUUCGUAGAUAUCGGGAGGAACACCGGUGGCGAAGGCGGCGAUCUGGGUAGAUACUGACGCUGAGGUGCGAAAGCGUGGGGAGCAAACAGG